RNAcentral lists this ribosomal RNA (245 nucleotides) under uncultured Butyrivibrio sp. Its description in RNAcentral is "partial 16S ribosomal RNA". It matches the Rfam family "Bacterial small subunit ribosomal RNA", at positions 524 to 768 of the family's 1533-position model. Lineage: Bacteria; Bacillati; Bacillota; Clostridia; Lachnospirales; Lachnospiraceae. The record is from RNAcentral.
UACGUAGGGGGCAAGCGUUAUCCGGAUUUACUGGGUGUAAAGGGAGCGCAGGCGGCGUCGCAAGUCAGAAGUGAAACCCCCCGGCCCAACUGGGGGCAUGCUUUUGAAACUGCGGUGCUGGAGUGCUGGAGGGGUAAGCGGAAUUCCUAGUGUAGCGGUGAAAUGCGUAGAUAUUAGGAAGAACACCGGUGGCGAAGGCGGCUUACUGGACAGCAACUGACGCUGAGGCUCGAAAGCGUGGGGAG